Molecule: long non-coding RNA, 519 nt
Filed under: Monodelphis domestica (gray short-tailed opossum)
Lineage: Eukaryota; Metazoa; Chordata; Mammalia; Didelphimorphia; Didelphidae
Description: lncRNA (ENSMODG00000041909.1)
Source: RNAcentral
AAUGACAUCCUCUGGAGGCUAUAUUUUAAUUUUAUAAUAUUAUUUUAUUAACGGACUACUCAAGGUCUCUAAACUAGUCAAUGGACUUCCUAUAAAGUCUGAAGAGAAAGGACCAGAGAGUCCCUCCUCAGCAUACCCUAAGAGGUUUCCCAUUGGACAACAGCCUUAUAGGAAAGGAGCUCAAGAGAAUUCCUUCCAGGAAGUGACAGAUCCUGAAUUUAUGACUCCAUCUAAUUCUCACAACUGCUCUGGAAGAAAGAACCCUUUAUCAACAACUGAAAAGAUAUACCUAAGAGUCCAUAGAGAAGACACAAAGAAUCAAAAGCUUAGAGAGAACAUCAGUGAAUGAAUGGAGGAAUCUCUAGCUUCAAAUACAUCUGCAAGCUUAUGAAGACAGUAAAGGACACAUUUAGAGGAGGAUGCCAGUGUGAAGGAGUAGCUUCCAUUUCUGAAAGGACAUCUGACUCAAACAAAAUCAGUUCAAACUUUGGGUCCUGUUUUCAAUCCUGGCUUGGAUGA